RNAcentral lists this ribosomal RNA (433 nucleotides) under uncultured bacterium. RNAcentral describes it as "partial 16S ribosomal RNA". It matches the Rfam family "Bacterial small subunit ribosomal RNA", at positions 29 to 507 of the family's 1533-position model. The record is from RNAcentral.
AACGAACGCUGGCGGCAUGCCUAACACAUGCAAGUCGAACGAGACCUUCGGGUCUAGUGGCGCACGGGUGCGUAACGCGUGGGAACCUGCCCUUAGGUUCGGAAUAACUCCCCGAAAGGGGUGCUAAUACCGGAUAAUGUCUUCGGACCAAAGAUUUAUCGCCUUUGGAUGGGCCCGCGUUGGAUUAGCUAGUUGGUAGGGUAAAAGCCUACCAAGGCGACGAUCCAUAGCUGGUCUGAGAGGAUGAUCAGACACACUGGGACUGAGACACGGCCCAAACUCCUACGGGAGGCAGCAGUGGGGAAUAUUGGACAAUGGGCGAAAGCCUGAUCCAGCAAUGCCGCGUGAGUUAUGAAGGCCUUAGAAUUGUAAAGCUCUAUUGCCCGAGAUGAUAAUGACAGUACCGGGAGAAUAAGCACCGGCUAACUCCGUG